RNAcentral lists this transfer RNA (75 nucleotides) under Candidatus Roizmanbacteria bacterium CG03_land_8_20_14_0_80_39_12. RNAcentral's name for it is "tRNA-Ile". It matches the Rfam family "tRNA". From Rfam's summary of the family: Transfer RNA (tRNA) molecules are approximately 80 nucleotides in length. Their secondary structure includes four short double-helical elements and three loops (D, anti-codon, and T loops). Further hydrogen bonds mediate the characteristic L-shaped molecular structure. tRNAs have two regions of fundamental functional importance: the anti-codon, which is responsible for specific mRNA codon recognition, and the 3' end, to which the tRNAs corresponding amino acid is attached (by aminoacyl-tRNA synthetases). tRNAs cope with the degeneracy of the genetic code in two manners: having more than one tRNA (with a specific anti-codon) for a particular amino acid; and 'wobble' base-pairing, i.e. permitting non-standard base-pairing at the 3rd anti-codon position. RNAcentral also lists the same sequence under 1 other name. The record is from RNAcentral. Lineage: Bacteria; Candidatus Roizmaniibacteriota.
GGAUCUGUAGUUAAACGGUUAUAACGGGACUCUUAUAAAGUCCAAUCGAUGGUUCGACUCCAUCCUGAUCCACCC